RNAcentral lists this unclassified non-coding RNA (379 nucleotides) under Zea mays. RNAcentral describes it as "misc RNA Zm00001eb239200". The record is from RNAcentral. Lineage: Eukaryota; Viridiplantae; Streptophyta; Magnoliopsida; Poales; Poaceae.
GUGAGGCCACCAUCCCCUUCUCUCUCCCUUCUUUCAUCUCCCCUCCCCAUCUGGAUCCUCCGCCGCCGGUUCCCCAUUGCUGCCUCCAUCGCCCCCGCUCCUCGCCGGUUCCCCAUUGCUGCCUCCACCGCCCCCGCUCCUCGUCGGUUCCCCGUUGCUGCCUCCACCGCCCCCGCUCCUUGCUGGUUCCCCAUUGCUGCCUCCACCGCCCCCGCUCCGAGGAGGGCCACGACGGCCGGAUCCUGGACUCGUUGUCGCGCGCCAGGGCAAAGUGAGACCUCUAGUCCUUGUUCCUUGUUGGAUUAUUUGCUUACUGUCAUGCUUCUGGUUUUCAUUUUGGGGGAAUUUUUUGGGGACUAUUUGAUAAACUUGGAGGGUG